GCGGCGAGCGAAAUGGGAAGAGCCCAAACCAACAAGCUUGCUUGUUGGGGUUGUAGGACACUCUAUACGGAGUUACAAAGGACGACAUUAGACGAAUCAUCUGGAAAGAUGAAUCAAAGAAGGUAAUAAUCCUGUAGUCGAAAAUGUUGUCUCUCUUGAGUGGAUCCUGAGUACGACGGAGCACGUGAAAUUCCGUCGGAAUCUGGGAGGACCAUCUCCUAAGGCUAAAUACUCUCUAGUGACCGAUAGUGAACCAGUACCGUGAGGGAAAGGUGAAAAGCACCCCGGAAGGGGAGUGAAAUAGAACCUGAAACCGUGUGCUUACAAGUAGUCAGAGCCCGUUAAUGGGUGAUGGCGUGCCUUUUGUAGAAUGAACCGGCGAGUUACGAUUUGAUGCAAGGUUAAGCAGUAAAUGUGGAGCCGUAGCGAAAGCGAGUCUGAAUAGGGCGUUUAGUAUUUGGUCGUAGACCCGAAACCAGGUGAUCUACCCUUGGUCAGGUUGAAGUUCAGGUAACACUGAAUGGAGGACCGAACCGACUUACGUUGAAAAGUGAGCGGAUGAACUGAGGGUAGCGGAGAAAUUCCAAUCGAACCUGGAGAUAGCUGGUUCUCUCCGAAAUAGCUUUAGGGCUAGCCUCAAGUGAUGAUUAUUGGAGGUAGAGCACUGUUUGGACGAGGGGCCCCUCUCGGGUUACCGAAUUCAGACAAACUCCGAAUGCCAAUUAAUUUAACUUGGGAGUCAGAACAUGGGUGAUAAGGUCCGUGUUCGAAAGGGAAACAGCCCAGACCACCAGCUAAGGUCCCAAAAUAUAUGUUAAGUGGAAAAGGAUGUGGCGUUGCCCAGACAACUAGGAUGUUGGCUUAGAAGCAGCCAUCAUUUAAAGAGUGCGUAAUAGCUCACUAGUCGAGUGACACUGCGCCGAAAAUGUACCGGGGCUAAACAUAUUACCGAAGCUGUGGAUUGUCCUUUGGACAAUGGUAGGAGAGCGUUCUAAGGGCGUUGAAGCAUGAUCGUAAGGACAUGUGGAGCGCUUAGAAGUGAGAAUGCCGGUGUGAGUAGCGAAAGACGGGUGAGAAUCCCGUCCACCGAUUGACUAAGGUUUCCAGAGGAAGGCUCGUCCGCUCUGGGUUAGUCGGGUCCUAAGCUGAGGCCGACAGGCGUAGGCGAUGGAUAACAGGUUGAUAUUCCUGUACCACCUAUAAUCGUUUUAAUCGAUGGGGGGACGCAGUAGGAUAGGCGAAGCGUGCGAUUGGAUUGCACGUCUAAGCAGUAAGGCUGAGUAUUAGGCAAAUCCGGUACUCGUUAAGGCUGAGCUGUGAUGGGGAGAAGACAUUGUGUCUUCGAGUCGUUGAUUUCACACUGCCGAGAAAAGCCUCUAGAUAGAAAAUAGGUGCCCGUACCGCAAACCGACACAGGUAGUCAAGAUGAGAAUUCUAAGGUGAGCGAGCGAACUCUCGUUAAGGAACUCGGCAAAAUGACCCCGUAACUUCGGGAGAAGGGGUGCUCUUUAGGGUUAACGCCCAGAAGAGCCGCAGUGAAUAGGCCCAAGCGACUGUUUAUCAAAAACACAGGUCUCUGCUAAACCGUAAGGUGAUGUAUAGGGGCUGACGCCUGCCCGGUGCUGGAAGGUUAAGAGGAGUGGUUAGCUUCUGCGAAGCUACGAAUCGAAGCCCCAGUAAACGGCGGCCGUAACUAUAACGGUCCUAAGGUAGCGAAAUUCCUUGUCGGGUAAGUUCCGACCCGCACGAAAGGCGUAACGAUUUGGGCACUGUCUCAACGAGAGACUCGGUGAAAUCAUAGUACCUGUGAAGAUGCAGGUUACCCGCGACAGGACGGAAAGACCCCGUGGAGCUUUACUGUAGCCUGAUAUUGAAAUUCGGCACAGCUUGUACAGGAUAGGUAGGAGCCUUUGAAACGUGAGCGCUAGCUUACGUGGAGGCGCUGGUGGGAUACUACCCUAGCUGUGUUGGCUUUCUAACCCGCACCACUUAUCGUGGUGGGAGACAGUGUCAGGCGGGCAGUUUGACUGGGGCGGUCGCCUCCUAAAAGGUAACGGAGGCGCUCAAAGGUUCCCUCAGAAUGGUUGGAAAUCAUUCAUAGAGUGUAAAGGCAUAAGGGAGCUUGACUGCGAGACCUACAAGUCGAGCAGGGUCGAAAGACGGACUUAGUGAUCCGGUGGUUCCGCAUGGAAGGGCCAUCGCUCAACGGAUAAAAGCUACCCCGGGGAUAACAGGCUUAUCUCCCCCAAGAGUUCACAUCGACGGGGAGGUUUGGCACCUCGAUGUCGGCUCAUCGCAUCCUGGGGCUGUAGUCGGUCCCAAGGGUUGGGCUGUUCGCCCAUUAAAGCGGUACGCGAGCUGGGUUCAGAACGUCGUGAGACAGUUCGGUCCCUAUCCGUCGUGGGCGUAGGAAAUUUGAGAGGAGCUGUCCUUAGUACGAGAGGACCGGGAUGGACAUACCUCUGGUGUACCAGUUGUCGUGCCAACGGCAUAGCUGGGUAGCUAUGUGUGGACGGGAUAAGUGCUGAAAGCAUCUAAGCAUGAAGCCCCCCUCAAGAUGAGAUUUCCCAACUUCGGUUAUAAGAUCCCUCAAAGAUGAUGAGGUUAAUAGGUUCGAGGUGGAAGCAUGGUGACAUGUGGAGCUGACGAAUACUAAUCGAUCGAAGACUUAAUCAA
This 2676-nucleotide ribosomal RNA is filed under the name Staphylococcus aureus. Its description in RNAcentral is "partial 23S ribosomal RNA". It matches the Rfam family "Bacterial large subunit ribosomal RNA". The record is from RNAcentral. Lineage: Bacteria; Bacillati; Bacillota; Bacilli; Caryophanales; Staphylococcaceae.